GACGAACGCUGGCGGCGUGCCUAAUACAUGCAAGUAGAACGCUGAAGGAGGAGCUUGCUCUUCUGGAUGAGUUGCGAACGGGUGAGUAACGCGUAGGUAACCUGCCUGGUAGCGGGGGAUAACUAUUGGAAACGAUAGCUAAUACCGCAUAAGAGUAGAUGUUGCAUGACAUUUGCUUAAAAGGUGCAAUUGCAUCACUACCAGAUGGACCUGCGUUGUAUUAGCUAGUUGGUGGGGUAACGGCUCACCAAGGCGACGAUACAUAGCCGACCUGGGAGGGGGAUCGGCCACACUGGGACUGAGACACGGCCCAGACUCCUACGGGAGGCAGCAGUAGGGAAUCUUCGGCAAUGGACGGAAGUCUGACCGAGCAACGCCGCGUGAGUGAAGAAGGUUGUCGGAUCGUAAAGCUCUGUUGUAAGAGAAGAAAGAGUGUGAGAGUGGAAAGUUCACACUGUGACGGUAUCUUACCAGAAAGGGACGGCUAACUACGUG
Molecule: ribosomal RNA, 495 nt
Filed under: uncultured bacterium
Lineage: Bacteria
Description: partial 16S ribosomal RNA
Rfam family: Bacterial small subunit ribosomal RNA
Source: RNAcentral